GUUUUCAUGGUCCCGACACGAAUUGAUUAAAAUUCCCGGAUUUAACAAAUAAAGAAACUCGAUUUAACGAACGCUCAAUGCAAUGUUUUUUAGAAAAAGAAUCGCAUAUUGGAGAAAAAUGUGCAAAAUCACUUCCAAGAAAACUACUGUACGUAUCCAUUUAGACAUGAAUCAGUAUAAGUUUAAAACCUGGGGCUGUAUUCUGAUCACUGUAUCUCUCAGAGACAAAAGACGUGUCUACGUCAGUACAUACGUACUGUACUGUACACUGUAUUGUAACUGUAUGUUCUUAAAAUUUUAAUUUA
Molecule: long non-coding RNA, 305 nt
Filed under: Androctonus crassicauda
Lineage: Eukaryota; Metazoa; Arthropoda; Arachnida; Scorpiones; Buthidae
Source: RNAcentral